RNAcentral lists this ribosomal RNA (200 nucleotides) under uncultured organism. RNAcentral's name for it is "partial small subunit ribosomal RNA". It matches the Rfam family "Bacterial small subunit ribosomal RNA", at positions 1184 to 1382 of the family's 1533-position model. The record is from RNAcentral.
GUCAAGUCAGCACGGCUCUUACGUCCUGGGCUACACACACGCUACAAUGGGCGCGACAGAGGGCGGCGAACCCGCGAGGGGGAGCGAAUCCCAGAAAGGCGUCCUCAGUUGGGAUUGCAGGCUGCAACCCGCCUGCAUGAACGUGGAGUUGCUAGUAACCGCAGGUCAGCACUACUGCGGUGAAUACGUUCCCGGGCCUU